This 279-nucleotide ribosomal RNA is filed under the name uncultured bacterium. Its description in RNAcentral is "partial 16S ribosomal RNA". It matches the Rfam family "Bacterial small subunit ribosomal RNA", at positions 506 to 784 of the family's 1533-position model. The record is from RNAcentral.
UGCCAGCCGCCGCGGUAAUACGGAGGGGGUUAGCGUUAUUCGGAAUUACUGGGCGUAAAGCGCACGUAGGCGGGCUGUAAAGUUGGGGGUGAAAUCCCGGGGCUCAACCCCGGAACUGCCUCCAAAACUAAUAGCCUAGAGUUCGAGAGAGGUGAGUGGAAUUCCGAGUGUAGAGGUGAAAUUCGUAGAUAUUCGGAGGAACACCAGUGGCGAAGGCGGCUCACUGGCUCGAUACUGACGCUGAGGUGCGAAAGCGUGGGGAGCAAACAGGAUUAGAUA